This 253-nucleotide ribosomal RNA is filed under the name uncultured prokaryote. RNAcentral's name for it is "partial 16S ribosomal RNA". It matches the Rfam family "Bacterial small subunit ribosomal RNA", at positions 524 to 776 of the family's 1533-position model. The record is from RNAcentral.
UACGUAGGUGGCAAGCGUUGUUCGGAAUUACUGGGCGUAAAGCGUGCGUAGACGGUUAUUUAAGUCGGAUGUGAAAGCCCCGGGCUCAACCUGGGAAUUGCAUUCGAGACUGAAUAGCUAGGGUACGGUAGAGGGAAGUGGAAUUUCCGGUGUAGCGGUGUAAUGCGUAGAUAUCGGAAGGAACAUCAGUGGCGAAAGCGACUUCCUGGACCAGUACCGACGUUCAGGCACGAAAGCGUGGGGAGCAAACAGG